RNAcentral lists this ribosomal RNA (301 nucleotides) under uncultured bacterium. RNAcentral's name for it is "partial 16S ribosomal RNA". It matches the Rfam family "Bacterial small subunit ribosomal RNA", at positions 509 to 809 of the family's 1533-position model. The record is from RNAcentral.
CAGCAGCCGCGGUAAUGCGUAGGUGGCAAGCGUUGUCCGGAAUUAUUGGGCGUAAAGGGCUCGCAGGCGGUUUCUUAAGUCUGAUGUGAAAGCCCCCGGCUCAACCGGGGAGGGUCAUUGGAAACUGGGAAACUUGAGUGCAGAAGAGGAGAGUGGAAUUCCACGUGUAGCGGUGAAAUGCGUAGAGAUGUGGAGGAACACCAGUGGCGAAGGCGACUCUCUGGUCUGUAACUGACGCUGAGGAGCGAAAGCGUGGGGAGCGAACAGGAUUAGAUACCCCCGUAGUCCCUGUCUCUUAUAA